RNAcentral lists this ribosomal RNA (485 nucleotides) under uncultured bacterium. RNAcentral's name for it is "bacterial SSU rRNA". It matches the Rfam family "Bacterial small subunit ribosomal RNA", at positions 1 to 482 of the family's 1533-position model. The record is from RNAcentral.
AUUAGAGUUUGAUCCUGGCUCAGAUUGAACGCUGGCGGCAAGGCUUAACACAAUGCAAGUCGAGCGGGGGAGAUUGCUUCGGUAAUUGACCUAGCGGCGGACGGGUGAGUAAUACUUAGGAAUCUGCCUAUUAAUGGGGGACAACAUCUCGAAAGGGAUGCUAAUACCGCAUACGCCCUACGGGGGAAACGAGGGGAUCACUUGUGACCUUGCGUUAAUAGAUGAGCCUAAGUCGGAUUAGCUAGUUGGUGGGGGUAAAGGCCUACCAAGGCGACGAUCUGUAGCGGGUCUGAGAGGAUGAUCCGCCACAACUGGGACUGAGACACGGCCCAGACUCCUACGGGAGGCAGCAGUGGGGAAUAUUGGACAAUGGGGGGAACCCUGAUCCAGCCAUCGCCGCGUGUGUGAAGAAGGCCUUAUGGUUGUAAAGCACUAUUAAACGAGGAGGAGGCUCUUCUAGUUAAUACCUAGGAUGAGUGGUCGUU